Molecule: ribosomal RNA, 492 nt
Filed under: uncultured bacterium
Lineage: Bacteria
Description: bacterial SSU rRNA
Rfam family: Bacterial small subunit ribosomal RNA
Source: RNAcentral
GCUAACUCUGUGCCAGCAGCCGCGGUAAGACAGAGGUGGCAAGCGUUGUUCGGAAUUACUGGGCGUAAAGAGUCUGUAGGUGGUUUGUCAAGUCUUUGGUGAAAGGCCGUAGCUUAACUAUGGGAAUGCCAAAGAGACUGGCAGGCUGGAGGCUGGGAGAGGGAAGCGGAAUUUCUGGUGUAGCGGUGAAAUGCGUAGAUAUCAGAAGGAAGGCCGGUGGCGAAGGCGGCUUCCUGGAACAGUCCUGACACUGAGAGACGAAAGCGUGGGGAGCAAACAGGAUUAGAUACCUGGUAGUCCACGCCCUAAACGAUGGGUACUAAGUGUGGAGGGGUUAAACCUCCGUGCCGCAGCAAACGCAGUAAGUACCCCGCCUGGGGAGUACGGCCGCAAGGUUAAAACUCAAAGGAAUUGACGGGGCCGCACAAGCGGUGGUGCAUGUGGUUUAAUUCGACGCAACGCGAGGAACCUUACCUAGGCUUGACAUGUGGU